CCACACGACUCUGGCGGGGUUAUAAAGGCCUUUUGAAGCGAAGCGAUGCAGCUAUGAGGAAAAACUCUACCAUGCACACAGAGAACAGAGCUCAAUGCUGCUAACUGGGCGAGCAACUGGACAACUAGAAGAGAAAAACAGUAGAACACUAUUAAUACAGAUGACUGGAAUACUCUUCUGCAAGAACCAAGACAAGCAAAGACUGAUGAUGAGUGCUCUGAGCAAACACAGCAGUCAAGACGCAUGAGUGACUUUACUGAGUUCUUCAUGUAAUGUUGGGCAUUUACUGUACGCAGAACUUCUAAUAAUUUAUGUGGAUGCCAUUUAUAAACCUGUUAGAUUUCGAUGUUUUAGUUUUGAGAUUAAUAAAAUUGUAUGUUUUAACAAUG
Long non-coding RNA from Rhinichthys klamathensis goyatoka, 389 nucleotides. RefSeq lists it as uncharacterized. NCBI's taxonomy places the organism in Eukaryota, Metazoa, Chordata, Actinopteri, Cypriniformes, Leuciscidae. The transcript has 2 exons. The record is from RefSeq and is a predicted model, not a curated record.